Long non-coding RNA from Lates calcarifer (barramundi perch), 2312 nucleotides. RefSeq lists it as uncharacterized. The record is from RefSeq and is a predicted model, not a curated record. NCBI's taxonomy places the organism in Eukaryota, Metazoa, Chordata, Actinopteri, Centropomidae. The transcript is spliced from 3 exons.
UUUUGGUGUUACACCGCUGAGCCGAGCCCAACUCCAAUGAGCACGUAUGGUCGGAGCUGCUGGAAAUCUUCACUGGACUUAAAACUUAAGCACAGUGGGUGGACAUACUGACAGUUGACAAAUUAAAGGAAAUACCUCAUUAAAUAAGUGGAGACACGUAACUAAUGUAGGUGCAGUGCCCAGGCCCAGUUGAUUUUUGACUUAUCAAGAUGGUGAGAGGCAAAGAUCUCAGUGACUUUGAAAGAGGGUUCAUUGUUGGAGCGCGGAUGGCAGGAGCUUCAGUCACAAAGACUGCUCAGCUGGCUGGUGUUUCAAUAGGAACAGUGACUAAAGUGACAGCUGCAUUUAGAUCCACAGGGAAGACAUCAGUAAAUAGGGUCGGAAAUUGUGGUCGACAGCGUACGUUUAAUGACCAUGAUGCUCGUGCAUUAGUGCAGUAUGUAAUGAAAAACAAAAGAGCGACUCUCACACAAGUGACUGAGAAUGUUAACGCAGGACGUAAUCAGACUGUGUCAGCAAGAACAGUUCGUCGACAGUUACAUAGAGAGGGAUAUUAUAAAAUAAAUGAAGGCAAAUAAAAUAAAAUAGUAGGCAGUGGUCUACAGAGAUCUUCUUCUUCAACUUUAACUUAAACAGGGAGGACCAUUGUGAGCUUUUUACAAGGAUGCCGAGAUUACAGUGCAUAUAAGAAAAUAAAAGCACAUAUAAGUCACCAUAUACAUCUACAGCAUAAGGGACAACACCAUUUAAAAGAAAACAUGCAUUCACACUGCUCUGUAUCUGUUAAACAGAUUUAAAUUGAUUAAAAGGGGUUAGUUUAUUAUUAUUAUAAACUAACCCCUAUUAUAUUUACAAGCUUCUGCUGAUUUUCAAGGUCCAAAUAGUCUUGGGACCUAGUGCAGUCUGAAACUGAUCUAUAGUUAAAUUAACUAAAUGACACUGUCAGAUGUGGAGGUAGUGAAAUGGUCAGAUAAUUCAUCCUUCAUCACAUUCUUGACAAGUGCUAAGGCGCACUGAAAGCUGUGCUGACAGCACGUGGUGGACCAACACCUUAAUAAGACACUUUAUGUUUUUUUUUCUGUAAUUUGCCACCCAUCUGUAACUUGAGAGUUGAAGAGUUUAAUGGAUCAGGUGAGAGCAUGGCAUAGGUAGAGGAGCCUCAAAUGGAAGGAGAGGGCAGCCCCACCAGAGACCAUUAUUAUCUACCACUCUGAAGUGGAGAGGGGGUCUGGAAAGGACCAAGGCAGUGAGGAUGGAACUAAAUUCUGCACAUCUACAGGUGAAGGUGGAAGCUGGAGCCUUCCUCCAGACAGUUGUUAUGUGACCCUGACCAUCACCUGGGGCAAGAAGAAGAGUCAGGUGGUGGACAUAUAUAUCACUUUGACAGAGAAGGAACUCAGAGAUAUAACCAAGUCAAAGGAACAUUGUCCUGUGGAGCAUGUCCUGUCCCUGUGUGGGUUCCCUCCUCUCCUUCUACCAUGGCACUCUCAUCUGAUACAGUGUCUUCCUGGUGUACAAUGAAACGUGGAUGCUCUGUGUAGGGCCCCCCGGGACAUCAUACAUGAAUCAUUGUGUGAUUUAAACUAACCUCAACUUCCCAGAAGUCCUCAGGUCUCACACCUAUACAUGAACUCUGCCCAUUCACCUAACAACCAGCUACCAUUGGUCACAGUGUGGCCCAGGACCUGUGAUGCCACCGGAACAAAACCCCAGUGCUGCUUUGUGUCACUCUUCUCUUCAUUGUUGCACCAACAGCUUGACUCUCCCUCUCAUCACUGCAGUGUGAGUUGCCGCUCUCUGACCUCCAUGUGGAUUAACUAAUGAACAAGUUUAAUUUACAUAACUACAUAACAACACAAAGCCUGCCAGCUGAUUUUACAAGCAUCAGGAGUCACGAAACAGAAUUAGUGUUGAGCAGCUAACUCUGUGAGGGAACAAGUGAGAAGCCGCACAGGUAGCACACCUUUGACUUUUGUCGAUGUGUAUGUAUUGAUUUGGUUUGGUUUGAUUUGUUUUUUCAUAUGACCAACUCACCUUUCUUUUGACUUGGCCCGUUUUAUCCUACAUAAACUGCCCUUGAACAUAGACACAUACACACACACAAGAAGAGGAAACUCAGAGCUCCUGCUUUAUACACUACUUUGGUGACCUUUCACACACACCAUGCGCUCCCAGCUGCCAUUUUGAGUCAACGUAUUGUCUUGUCUGUUUUCCUUUGAAUGCACACACAAACACAUCCACACCCAUCUAUAGUAUCAUUCAUUAGAUUACACACUAUUUUGUUAUAUGUGAAAUAAAAGCAUUGGAAAAUA